Molecule: ribosomal RNA, 460 nt
Filed under: uncultured bacterium
Lineage: Bacteria
Description: partial 16S ribosomal RNA
Rfam family: Bacterial small subunit ribosomal RNA
Source: RNAcentral
CCUACGGGUGGCAGCAGUGAGGAAUAUUGGUCAAUGGACGAGAGUCUGAACCAGCCAAGUAGCGUGAAGGAUGACUGCCCUAUGGGUUGUAAACUUCUUUUAUAUGGGAAUAAAAUGUUCCACGUGUGGGAUUUUGUAUGUACCAUAUGAAUAAGGAUCGGCUAACUCCGUGCCAGCAGCCGCGGUAAUACGGGGGAUCAGAGCGUUAUCCGGAUUUAUUGGGUGUAUAGGGAGCGUAGGUGGGUUGGUAAGUCAGUUGUGAACGUUUGCGGCUCAACCGUAAAAUUGCAGUUGAAACUGGCAGUCUUGAGUACAGUAGAGGUGGGCGGAAUUCGUGGUGUAGCGGUGAAAUGCGUAGAUAUCACGAAGAACUCCGAUUGCGAAGGCAGUUCACUGGACUGCAACUGACACUGAGGCUCGAAAGUGUGGGUAUCAAACAGGAUUAGAUACCCUAGUAGUC